ACUUGUAGAGAGAAAGAAUUGUUAUGAAUGCAAGGGCAGAAAAUAAACAUGCAAUGGGUCGAUUCAAUUGACAAAAGAAAAAGCUAUGGAUGAAUGGAGUUGUUGGGGGUCGACAAUUUCAUCUUAUUCGCUCCCUCUUAUCUACUCCUCUUGUUUAAUGUGCUUGAUUAUCUAAUUGUUAUGCAAACUUUCUUGGCCUACCCUUAACCUGAUCCCUCGGCGAAAAGAGCCUAUUACUAAUUACCGGCUUGCUAUCCCUAGCCUCCC
Molecule: long non-coding RNA, 267 nt
Filed under: Vigna radiata
Lineage: Eukaryota; Viridiplantae; Streptophyta; Magnoliopsida; Fabales; Fabaceae
Description: long non-coding RNA (VRAD_LNC015174)
Source: RNAcentral